CUUUUAUGACGAGUCCCAAAUAGGACGAAACGCGCGUCAAAC
This 42-nucleotide non-coding RNA is filed under the name Schistosoma mansoni. The record is from RNAcentral. Lineage: Eukaryota; Metazoa; Platyhelminthes; Trematoda; Strigeidida; Schistosomatidae.